RNAcentral lists this ribosomal RNA (497 nucleotides) under uncultured bacterium. RNAcentral's name for it is "partial 16S ribosomal RNA". It matches the Rfam family "Bacterial small subunit ribosomal RNA", at positions 28 to 507 of the family's 1533-position model. The record is from RNAcentral.
GAUGAACGCUGGCGGCGUGCCUAAUACAUGCAAGUCGAGCGAACAGACGAGGAGCUUGCUCCUCUGACGUUAGCGGCGGACGGGUGAGUAACACGUGGAUAACCUACCUAUAAGACUGGGAUAACUUCGGGAAACCGGAGCUAAUACUGGAUAAUAUAUUGAACCGCAUGGUUCAAUAGUGAAAGACGGUUUUGCUGUCACUUAUAGAUGGAUCCGCUCCGCAUUAGCUAGUUGGUAAGGUAACGGCUUACCAAGGCAACGAUGCGUAGCCGACCUGAGAGGGUGAUCGGCCACACUGGAACUGAGACACGGUCCAGACUCCUACGGGAGGCAGCAGUAGGGAAUCUUCCGCAAUGGGCGAAAGCCUGACGGAGCAACGCCGCGUGAGUGAUGAAGGUCUUCGGAUCGUAAAACUCUGUUAUUAGGGAAGAACAAAUGUGUAAGUAACUAUGCACGUCUUGACGGUACCUAAUCAGAAAGCCACGGCUAACUACGUG